Molecule: non-coding RNA, 2342 nt
Organism: Sus scrofa (pig)
Lineage: Eukaryota; Metazoa; Chordata; Mammalia; Artiodactyla; Suidae
Source: RefSeq, a predicted model, not a curated record
GGUUGGGGAGGGUACGGAGGGCGGGGGCGAGCGGAGACAGCCAAUCCGCGGAGCCACGGGUGAGGCCAGACACCUAGUCCCACGGGGAUUGAAUUAUCCUCCUACACCGCCCCCCCCCAGCCCUGGGGAAGGGUGGGGCGAGGAAUGAAAGCCUCCCCAGCCCCGCCCACGCUCACGCACCUGUCGCCGGCUGCGCUCACCGGAGACCCAUGGAUCAAUCGCCAGCCCAAGGUCGGUAGGCAACGCAAGGAAACCGGUGAUCCUCCCAAAGCAUGAAGGGACCAGUAUUUUCGUUCCCUGGGGACGGUGCUGAAGACCCAGGUAAACCUCAGAUCACAGACCUCCACCGAGUGCGUGCUGCGGCCUCAACAAUAUAUGCACUCAAGGACGGAGGGGAAAGAAAGGGACUUCCUUGUGAUGUGUUAGGGACAUGCCAUCUUUCAUCUUUACAGUCACCCUGUGAAAAGGCUUCUCCCCAUUUUACAGAUGAACGAGUUGAAGCUUAGGCAGCUUAGGUCACUUGCCCCAAAUCACCCAGCUUAAAAAAAAAAAAUGGUGGAAAUAUUUGAGUUUGGGUCUGUCCAACUAGGAACCAUACAAGGAGAACAGACGGGGGACUGAAGUAGAAUCUGCCACCGCGGAGGGAAAUGGCCUGGAGACAGUUUGAUGCCAAGCUGACCUGGGAAUGGUAGAGCCUUUCCAGGCCCGUGAGUUUGUGAUUCUGAGAUAGGGGUUACUGGGAAUAGAAAGGAUCCUAAGAAUCAAUGAGGAUUUAGAUUAGAAUUUUAAAAACGAAGUAAGAAAUCAGAGAAUUGUACCCCGUGACGGAUUUCUUGAAAAGAUUUUUUGAAAGUACUCUUUUUACAUUAGAAUUGGGGUUACCAGUGAUUUACUCCAGCUAUUUGAAUCAAGAGAUGUAUUUUUUGGUGUAAUUAUUAAUAUCCGAAAAUUUGUGGCUUACAGUUUGGAGCAUGCAUCACCUGGCAGCCACAUGGUGGCAGUGUUUCCUAAUUGUUGAAAAAGUUCCUGCAAAUAAAAGAAACACAGCUUCUGGAUCAGUGAAAACUAUGAGCCUAACAAGACAACAUGACCUUUGCUGGCUCUCCAAUGGCUAAAGGAGGGAAAAGCCCACAAUCCUCUACUUUGAGUGGCCCCACCCACCUCUGGCUUUCGGACUUCUCCCGACACCCCAGCUUCCACGUCAGGGGACCCGGAUGGUGGAGGAAGCACCCAGCUAAAGUCUUUGAGCCUGUGACAGAAAAUAUCUGACUCCCUGCUGCGACCUCCACCACAGCUGUGGCUGGUGCCCCUUCCAGGGAGAAUGAGCACACGCCACCAAGGUUAAGGUGAUCAGGAGCAAGACCCUGGACUUGGAUUUGGAGACAGAAGUGAAUGAAGCAGUCCUUUUGCAGCCACUGGGCCUAGAAACUCCUGCCGCUGCCCCGCAGCUACGUUGCACAGGAACCGCAGUGGGCUGGCUGGACCGUCCCCGACCCCCCUGCUGGCAUCUGAAGACACCUGGGGGCGACUGGAAAACCAGAGAUUCCUCGGGAGCAGACUGUUCCUGGGACUCUGUCUCAGCUUAGAAGGACCUCAGGCACCUGGCAGAAGCAAAGACACAUCCCCUCUGGGGGAAUAUACCACUGGACCAGACCUGAAAGAAUCUUGAGAGACAAAGUUUCAAAACUAAGAGGAUAUAAGGUAAAACAAGAAUAAUACAAAAGAAAGUCACAAAAGAGGACACAAAAGAAACAGAGCCCCAGGGGUGAGUCAGCAGAAAGAGCCAACGGUGAGCCAGUUUAUGUUUAGACCUUGGAAUUAUUGGAAACAUAUGAAAUAAAUAUAUCUAAUAUGUUUAAAUAAGCCAAAGAGAGUUUGAAAAUAUGUAUAGGAAAAAAAAUUAUCAAGGGGAUUAGAGAGACUUCCAGUGGGGAGUGCUCACAGCUGCUGUUGCCACUGCAGGCACAACAGUGAGGCUGAGACACCAGCUGGUCCACUGCGGUGUGGUUGCUGGGGCUGGCAGGUGUCUCAGCACGUGGGUGCAGACACCACCAAGGUAGGUGACUUCCACUCAGAGGAGCGGAGUAACUGGGUUGAGUCACCUCAGCUUCCAAACAGAAGAUCAGGAGUUUGAGUCAUUGGCUACUUUAGUGGAAUUCUACCAAAUGCACCAUUUAGGCACUAGAGCAUUGAUAGACCCAGUUCCCAAGGUCAGGCAGGGACGUGGAGUGAUUCUCAGGCUGGAAGAGCCUGAGCAUGGGUGGCCCACCCCUCUUUGACUUUAAGAAAGGAGACCCCCUGGGAGUUCCCGUCGUGGCACAGUGGAAAUGAAUCCGACUAGG